UUAAGUUAGAAAGGGCGCACGGUGGAUGCCUUGGCACUAGGAGCCGAAGAAGGACGGGACUAACACCGAUAUGCUUUGGGGAGCUGUACGUAAGCGUUGAUCCAGAGAUUUCCGAAUGGGGGAACCCACUAUCUUUAGUCGGAUAGUAUCCUUACGUGAAUACAUAGCGUGAGGAAGGCAGACCCAGGGAACUGAAACAUCUAAGUACCUGGAGGAAGAGAAAGAAAAAUCGAUUUCCUGAGUAGCGGCGAGCGAAACGGAAAGAGCCCAAACCAAGAAGCUUGCUUCUUGGGGUUGUAGGACACUCUAUACGGAGUUACAAAAGAAAGUUAUAAAUGAAGCGGUCUGGAAAGGCCCGCCAAAGACGGUAACAGCCCGGUAGUUGAAAUGGCUUUCCCUCCAGAGUGGAUCCUGAGUACGGCGGAACACGUGAAAUUCCGUCGGAAUCCGGGAGGACCAUCUCCCAAGGCUAAAUACUCCCUAGUGACCGAUAGUGAACCAGUACCGUGAGGGAAAGGUGAAAAGCACCCCGGAAGGGGAGUGAAACAGUUCCUGAAACCGUGUGCCUACAAGUAGUUAGAGCCCGUUAAUGGGUGAUAGCGUGCCUUUUGUAGAAUGAACCGGCGAGUUACGAUUUGUUGCAAGGUUAAGCGGAAAAAGCGGAGCCGUAGCGAAAGCGAGUCUGAAUAGGGCGCAUAAGUAACAGGUCGUAGACCCGAAACCAGGUGAUCUACCCAUGUCCAGGAUGAAGGUAAGGUAAUACUUACUGGAGGUCCGAACCCACGCACGUUGAAAAGUGCGGGGAUGAGGUGUGGGUAGCGGAGAAAUUCCAAUCGAACUUGGAGAUAGCUGGUUCUCUCCGAAAUAGCUUUAGGGCUAGCCUCGAGGUAAAGAGUCAUGGAGGUAGAGCACUGUUUGGACUAGGGGCCCUUCUCGGGUUACCGAAUUCAGAUAAACUCCGAAUGCCAUGUACUUAUACUCGGGAGUCAGACUGCGAGUGAUAAGAUCCGUAGUCGAAAGGGAAACAGCCCAGACCACCAGUUAAGGUCCCCAAAUAUAUGUUAAGUGGAAAAGGAUGUGGGGUUGCUUAGACAACCAGGAUGUUGGCUUAGAAGCAGCCACCAUUGAAAGAGUGCGUAAUAGCUCACUGGUCGAGUGACCCCGCGCCGAAAAUGUACCGGGGCUAAACAUAUUACC
This 1197-nucleotide ribosomal RNA is filed under the name Listeria monocytogenes. RNAcentral's name for it is "partial 23S ribosomal RNA". It matches the Rfam family "Bacterial large subunit ribosomal RNA", at positions 3 to 1195 of the family's 2925-position model. Lineage: Bacteria; Bacillati; Bacillota; Bacilli; Caryophanales; Listeriaceae. The record is from RNAcentral.